Molecule: unclassified non-coding RNA, 114 nt
Organism: Chinchilla lanigera (long-tailed chinchilla)
Lineage: Eukaryota; Metazoa; Chordata; Mammalia; Rodentia; Chinchillidae
Source: Ensembl
CCCACUGGACUUUCCCUAGGUUCCGAGCUAAUCUCUUCUGUGAGCUCACUCUACCCCUCCUCCUCCCUCUAACUCUCUGAGGUUGUUCCUUCACUUAAACCUGUCAUCUGGUGG